ACUCCCUCGCUCGCCCUCGGUGUAAAAGCUAGUCAUCUAUCCGACCCGUCUUGAAACACGGACCAAGGAGUUUAGCGUAUACGCGAGUCAUUGAGUGUAAAACUCAAAGGCGCAAUGAAAGUAAAGGUAUCCCUUGCGGAGCUGAUAUGCGACCUCGGGUGCUUCGGUGCCCGGGAGCAGCAUAGCCCCGUCCUAAUUGCUUGCAAUGGGGCGGAGGUAGAGCGUAUUCGCUGAGACCCGAAAGAUGGUGAACUAUUCCUGAGCAGGAUGAAGCCAGUGGAAACACUGGUGGAAGUCCGAAGCGAUUCUGACGUGCAAAUCGAUCGUCUGACUUGGGUAUAGGGGCGAAAGACUAAUCGAACCAUCUAGUAGCUGGUUCCUUCCGA
This is a ribosomal RNA of 386 nucleotides. It matches the Rfam family "Eukaryotic large subunit ribosomal RNA", at positions 604 to 964 of the family's 3401-position model.